GAUGAAGAACGUAGCGAAAUGCGAUAAGUAAUGUGAAUUGCAGAAUUCAGUGAAUCAUCGAAUCUUUGAACGCACAUUGCGCCCGCCAGUAUUCUGGCGGGCAUGCCUGUUCGAGCGUCAUUUCAACCCUCAGGCCCCCAGUGCCUGGCGUUGGGGGUCGGCGUGGGCGGCGAACGGCUCUCCGGAGCCCGAGCCAAUGCCUGCCGGCCCCGAAAUUCAGUGGCGGUCUCGCUGUAGUCCCCCUCUGCGUAGUAGCACAACUCGCAUUGGAGCUCGGCGGUGGCCAUGCCGUAAAACACCCCACUUCUGAAAGUUGACCUCGGAUCAGGUAGGAAUACCCGCUGAACUUAAGCAUAUCAAUAAGCGGAGGA
This 371-nucleotide unclassified non-coding RNA is filed under the name soil metagenome. RNAcentral describes it as "partial contains 5.8S ribosomal RNA, internal transcribed spacer 2, and large subunit ribosomal RNA". The stretch from base 1 to 120 matches the Rfam family "5.8S ribosomal RNA", at positions 35 to 154 of the family's 154-position model. The record is from RNAcentral.